This 309-nucleotide unclassified non-coding RNA is filed under the name Hebeloma cavipes. Its description in RNAcentral is "sequence contains 5.8S rRNA gene". The stretch from base 1 to 53 matches the Rfam family "5.8S ribosomal RNA", at positions 102 to 154 of the family's 154-position model. The record is from RNAcentral. Lineage: Eukaryota; Fungi; Basidiomycota; Agaricomycetes; Agaricales; Hymenogastraceae.
GAACGCACCUUGUGCUCCUUGGUAUUCCGAGGAGCAUGCCUGUUUGAGUGUCAUUAAAUUCUCAACCAUUAUCAACUUUUGCUGAUAAUGGCUUGGAUGUGGGGGUCUAUUUUGCUGGCUUCUCAGAUAGUCAGCUCCCCUUAAAUGCAUUAGCCGGUGCCCCGCGUGGACUGUCUAUUGGUGUGAUAAUUAUCUACGCUAUAGACAUCUGCAAUCAUAUGGGUUUGCGCUGCUUCUAACAGUCUGUUGAUUCAGACAAUACAUGACAAUUUGACCUCAAAUCAGGUAGGACUACCCGCUGAACUUAAG